Molecule: ribosomal RNA, 725 nt
Filed under: uncultured eukaryote
Lineage: Eukaryota
Description: bacterial SSU rRNA
Rfam family: Eukaryotic small subunit ribosomal RNA
Source: RNAcentral
CGGGUGCACUGGUUCGGCCGGGCCUUUCCUUCUGGCAAGCCGCAUGCCCUUUACUGGGUGUGUUGGGGAACCAGGACUUUUACUUUGAAAAAAUUAGAGUGUUCAAAGCAGGCAUAUGCUCGAAUACAUUAGCAUGGAAUAAUAGAAUAGGACGUGCGGUUCUAUUUUGUUGGUUUCUAGGACCGCCGUAAUGAUUAAUAGGGAUAGUCGGGGGCAUCCGUAUUCAAUUGUCAGAGGUGAAAUUCUUGGAUUUAUUGAAGACGAACUACUGCGAAAGCAUUUGCCAAGGAUGUUUUCAUUAAUCAGGAACGAAAGUUAGAGGUUCGAAGGCGAUCAGAUACCGCCCUAGUUCUAACCAUAAACUAUGCCAACUAGCAAUUUGCUUUGUAUUUUUUAUGACUAAGUGAGAGGCCACGGGAAACCUAAGUAGGGUUAUGGGGGAAGUAUGGUUGCAAAGCUGAAACUUAAAGGAAUUGACGGAAGGGCACCACCAGGAGUGGAGCCUGCGGCUUAAUUUGACUCAACACGGGGAAACUCACCAGGUCCAGACACAUUAAGGAUUGACAGAUUGAGAGCUCUUUCUUGAUCAUGUGGGUGGUGGUGCAUGGCCGUUCUUAGUUGGUGGAGUGAUUUGUCUGCUUAAUUGCGAUAACGAACGAGACCUUAACCUGCUAAAUAGCCCAGCCCGCUUCUGCGGGUUGCUGGCUUCUUAGAGGGACUAUCGG